RNAcentral lists this ribosomal RNA (106 nucleotides) under Bacillus anthracis (anthrax bacterium). RNAcentral describes it as "partial 16S ribosomal RNA". It matches the Rfam family "Bacterial small subunit ribosomal RNA", at positions 1 to 100 of the family's 1533-position model. The record is from RNAcentral. RNAcentral also lists the same sequence under 1 other name. Lineage: Bacteria; Bacillati; Bacillota; Bacilli; Caryophanales; Bacillaceae.
UUUAUUGGAGAGUUUGAUCCUGGCUCAGGAUGAACGCUGGCGGCGUGCCUAAUACAUGCAAGUCGAGCGAAUGGAUUAAGAGCUUGCUCUUAUGAAGUUAGCGGCG